UCCCUCUUUUUCUUUUUCUUUUUCUCUUUCUUUUUCUCUUUCUUUUUCUC
RNAcentral lists this non-coding RNA (50 nucleotides) under Chloroparvula japonica. Lineage: Eukaryota; Viridiplantae; Chlorophyta; Chloropicophyceae; Chloropicales; Chloropicaceae. The record is from RNAcentral.